GGAUUAUUGGGGGCAAAGACACCCCUAGAAGCUUACCGUUUUAAAAGCCCCUUGGGGUGCCAAAUCCCUUCUCCUGGAGCGCACUUGGGUGUUCAUCCACCCCGUCCAAUAUUUUCUAGAGCCUGGGCGGUCACUGUUGCUGGGGCUUCCUGGCGUCAUGUGUGAGCACCAGGGCUAUGAGACGCCAUCCUGGCAGAUGCGGGCGUCUCCAGCGCGGGCCGGGCCGGAGCUGCCCCGAAGCUCAACGCUCCAUCCCGUCCCGUCUUCGGAGGGCUGGAGUGCAGCGGCAUGAACAGGGCUCCCUGCAGCCCCAACUUCCUGGGCCCAAGUGAUCCUCAUGCCUCAGCCUUCUGAGUAGCUGGGACUACAGGCACAUGUCACCACACCUGGCUAAUUUAUUUCUAAUUUUUGUUGUUGUUGAGAUGAGGUCUUGCUAUGUUGCUCAGGCUGGUCUUAAACUCCUGGGCAACUCUGGGACAUGGUUAAAGAGAUGUUUCACAAGUAACAGCAUGCUGUAGAAACCCUGAACCCCAAACUUACGGAUCCUCAGGAACACCCCAGACUUUAGAAGGAAAGUCAGAAGGUGCUGACACAGGUGCAUAACUAAAGGGAAAUCCUUCUUUCUCAGCUCCAACCAUGGCUGUGAGCUUCAUUCACACUGACUUAAAAAAAAAAAUCUCAGCUGUUUACUUAAAAGUAAAUAGCUUUUUCUAUAAUUCUGGUUUGCUAAUUUAAUUCUAAUCUCCAGACUCUGGCAAAAUACAUGCUCACUUUUUUUUUCUUUUUCUUUCUUUCUUUUUUUU
RNAcentral lists this long non-coding RNA (803 nucleotides) under Homo sapiens (human). Its description in RNAcentral is "HSALNT0253772". The record is from RNAcentral. Lineage: Eukaryota; Metazoa; Chordata; Mammalia; Primates; Hominidae.